UUAAAUUGAAGAGUUUGAUCAUGGCUCAGAUUGAACGCUGGCGGCAGGCCUAACACAUGCAAGUCGAACGGUAACAGAAAGCAGCUUGCUGCUUUGCUGACGAGUGGCGGACGGGUGAGUAAUGUCUGGGAAACUGCCUGAUGGAGGGGGAUAACUACUGGAAACGGUAGCUAAUACCGCAUAACGUCGCAAGACCAAAGAGGGGGACCUUCGGGCCUCUUGCCAUCGGAUGUGCCCA
RNAcentral lists this ribosomal RNA (238 nucleotides) under Escherichia coli. Its description in RNAcentral is "partial 16S ribosomal RNA". It matches the Rfam family "Bacterial small subunit ribosomal RNA", at positions 1 to 233 of the family's 1533-position model. The record is from RNAcentral. Lineage: Bacteria; Pseudomonadati; Pseudomonadota; Gammaproteobacteria; Enterobacterales; Enterobacteriaceae.